RNAcentral lists this transfer RNA (80 nucleotides) under Marmota monax (woodchuck). RNAcentral's name for it is "tRNA.Glu". It matches the Rfam family "tRNA". From Rfam's summary of the family: Transfer RNA (tRNA) molecules are approximately 80 nucleotides in length. Their secondary structure includes four short double-helical elements and three loops (D, anti-codon, and T loops). Further hydrogen bonds mediate the characteristic L-shaped molecular structure. tRNAs have two regions of fundamental functional importance: the anti-codon, which is responsible for specific mRNA codon recognition, and the 3' end, to which the tRNAs corresponding amino acid is attached (by aminoacyl-tRNA synthetases). tRNAs cope with the degeneracy of the genetic code in two manners: having more than one tRNA (with a specific anti-codon) for a particular amino acid; and 'wobble' base-pairing, i.e. permitting non-standard base-pairing at the 3rd anti-codon position. Lineage: Eukaryota; Metazoa; Chordata; Mammalia; Rodentia; Sciuridae. The record is from RNAcentral.
GGGGUUGUGGCUCAGUGGUAGAGUGCUUAUCUCUCACCCCUCUCAAGUAUGAGGCCCUGGGUUCGAUCCUCAGCACCACA